AUUGAACGCUGGCGGCAUGCUUUACACAUGCAAGUCGAACGGUAACAGGUUAAGCUGACGAGUGGCGAACGGGUGAGUAAUGCAUCGGAACGUGCCCGAUCGUGGGGGAUAACGCAGCGAAAGCUGCGCUAAUACCGCAUACGAUCUGAGGAUGAAAGCGGGGGACCGUAAGGCCUCGCGCGAUCGGAGCGGCCGAUGUCAGAUUAGGUAGUUGGUGGGGUAAAGGCUCACCAAGCCAACGAUCUGUAGCUGGUCUGAGAGGACGACCAGCAACACAGGGACUGGGAGAAGGCCCAGACUCCUACAGGAAGCAGCAGUGGGGAAUUUUGGGGAAUGGGCGAAAGCCUGAGCCAGCAAUGCCGCGUGCAGGAAGAAGGCCUUCGGGUUGUAAACUGCUUUUGUACGGAGCGAAAAGGCUCUCUCUAAUACAGGGGGCGCAUGACGGUACCGGAAGAAUAAGCACCGGCUAACUACGUGCCAGCCGCCGCCGUAA
This 493-nucleotide ribosomal RNA is filed under the name uncultured bacterium. RNAcentral describes it as "partial 16S ribosomal RNA". It matches the Rfam family "Bacterial small subunit ribosomal RNA", at positions 29 to 523 of the family's 1533-position model. The record is from RNAcentral.